RNAcentral lists this ribosomal RNA (368 nucleotides) under uncultured organism. RNAcentral's name for it is "bacterial SSU rRNA". It matches the Rfam family "Bacterial small subunit ribosomal RNA", at positions 526 to 896 of the family's 1533-position model. The record is from RNAcentral.
CGGAGGGUGCAAGCGUUGUCCGGAUUUAUUGGGUUUAAAGGGUGCGUAGGCGGCUUUUUAAGUCAGUGGUGAAAGACAACAGCUCAACUGUUGCAGUGCCAUUGAUACUGAAGAGCUUGAGUACAGAUGAGGUAGGCGGAAUUUAUGGUGUAGCGGUGAAAUGCAUAGAUACCAUAAAGAACACCUAUUGCGAAGGCAGCUUACUAAGCUGUAACUGACGCUGAGGCACGAAAGUGUGGGGAUCAAACAGGAUUAGAUACCCUGGUAGUCCACACUGUAAACGAUGAUCACUCGAUGUGUGCGAUAGACAGUACGCGUCCAAGCGAAAGCGUUAAGUGAUCCACCUGGGGAGUACGCUCGCAAGAGUG